Molecule: long non-coding RNA, 2048 nt
Organism: Hydra vulgaris (swiftwater hydra)
Lineage: Eukaryota; Metazoa; Cnidaria; Hydrozoa; Anthoathecata; Hydridae
Source: RefSeq, a predicted model, not a curated record
UUUAAUGAAAAGUUGUUGUACGUUUACAUUUAUCUGAGAAUAAAAUUAUAAAUAAAAGCAAAAAGGAUGAUGUUUUUUCCAUUUAAGUUUUUAAACUGGUAUUCCUAUACAAAUAAGUAUGCAUGCAGUAUUUGUAUAGUAUGGUUUUAAUGGGACGGACAUUAUAGCCACAUAUGGAACGCACCAACGCCAUCCCAUAAAGGAGAGUAGGAAAUAUAUGGCUAACAUGCAGUUGCCAUAUAUGGACCACAUGAAAAUUUCUUGUUUAGAAAUAGUUUCCAUUGUUCACAGAUCCAAUAAUCUCGUCAUUUCCACAAAAAGCAAGACCGAUUGACGACAAUAAUUUGAUUGUACUUAAAGUCCGUUUGAGAAGUUUACGCCAAUAGUUCUAUUUAGACGUGUAUUAUUCUACAAGACUUUUAUCUAUUUGCUUUCCUGUUUUUAUUAUAUAAAUAACUUUUUCAAGUUUAUUCUUGUGCAAAGUACUGACUUCAUGGAGACUUAUGUCCCUGACUGUAGUCUUCCAAUUGUAAUAACCACUAGUUGCUAACAAUGACGUUUCUUCGGCUUUUCCGAAUAGUUUACAACUAGCUAAGUAAAUCUUACCAAUUUUUGAAGAAAAACAAAGCCAAUUAUACUAAACUUUCUCACCGUUUAAUUGCUCUCGAAAAAAAAAGAUUUUUAACAAUGUCGUUUAAACGUAUCGCCUAGAAAUAAACCUUCUGACGUGUUAAAAUUGCUUUCCAUGUGUUGACAACUAGCAAUUGUGCUACUUGUCAACUUGUUGAAAAGUUAGAUAGUUUUCAACAUUUUCCAUGUGUUGAAAACUAAUAUCUCCGUAUUGUAUUGUAUCUCCGUAUUAAAAACUAACAUCUCCAUACGUAUUGCUCAGUCGUGAAAAUCAUUUUGACAGGUUUCAGUUGCAAUUGCGCUACUUGUACCAAGUUAAAUAUUCGAUUCAGGCAUUCUCUUUUACUUUCUGAUAGAUUUCAAAGUGUUGAAAUCAAACAGAAAACUCACGAUGCUUCACAGGUUUUAUUGAAACACGUGAGCACCUGGUGCUUUCAAAAGAAAGUUACAUAAUUGGCUAAAAUAAGACAAUCCAACUUUAUUAUUUCGACUCAUGAAUAUUUUCGAAUUGGUACCAAAUUAUUAAGAAUGGUUGCUAAAUUUGUUUUUAUUUGCUCAGUAUAAUCAUCAACAUCAAUUUCAGGUGAUAAAUUGCAUGGCAUUGAUUGCAUUACUUAUAUAAAACGUGAUGAGUUAAGUUUUUUUAAAUUUCGUUUCAAAAACCAAACAGUUUAAGUUUUUAAAAAUGGAUGUUGGAGUGCUACCCGGAUUAGGUAGUGGUCCGAAAUACCUUCGUCUAAUACUUGAAGAUUUUUAAGGGAAAUGUUAUCAUAGCGAUUUAUUACUAAAUAAAGCAGGUUCGCAAUAACAGAAGUUGAUGAUAUGCGAGUUGGAGAUAGAACAAGUUGUAUCAUGCUCUAGGUAUCUAGAAUAUUAGCAAGCCUUGGAUUUAUAGUUGUUGGAGUGGUACCUUGGCAAAUAAAGUCACUGUAAAGAAACAUUUCUUCAGACAAUGUUUAAAGUUCUUCUAGAAGAUUAGAGAAUUUCAAAAAGAAAAUGCUUGUCGGGAUGAUGGGAAUGAUGAGAAUGAUCGAUAAAUAGCAAUAACAGUGUUUGCUAAAUUUAGUUUAGCAGAUGUACGUUUAUAUGACAGGCAAGUUGAUGAUAAUGACAAGGGUUUAGUAUUUAAGUUGUAUAUUAUUGCAAUGCCUCUCCCACGUGGUCAGAUUGGCAGUGUUGAAUUGUUUUGAAACUUGGUGGCGCUAUAUCUUGAAUUGCAGCAGGAACGUCUGGUCUUAUCCAAAUUUCAGUCAGUAUAACGAUUGAAUUUGUACCGUAGUAUGAAUGAUUGCAGGUUUCUUUAUAGUGGAUCGAACAUUUUGGAUACCCAAGUUUAGUGUAGAUUGUGCAGUAGGUCCUGGAGAGGAUCUUCAAUUUUUUCUAUGUAUUUUAUGCAGAUUUAAUUUUGAUCCAUUUAA